This is a long non-coding RNA of Penaeus monodon (black tiger shrimp), 1454 nucleotides long. RefSeq lists it as uncharacterized. The transcript has 4 exons. The record is from RefSeq and is a predicted model, not a curated record. Lineage: Eukaryota; Metazoa; Arthropoda; Malacostraca; Decapoda; Penaeidae.
CUCAGAAGGUUGGCGUCCUGUUUUUUCUUUCAACCUUACUCCUCGUGACUUGAGUUUUUUCAAGCGCUCCAUGAAACCAAUAUAUGUUGAUAAGGAGACAUCUCCAUAUUUCGGCGAAUUACAUGCCAUUUGCUACACCAAUAGUCAUGAGAUGAUAGCCAUUAAAAAUGAAGAACUGAUACAGAGCAAAGCAGUAGAAGGAAGUCCAGAGAACUCUUUUUGCAACUUGAGAAAAGUAAAAUCUCGAGUAAAGCUAAGACAAGAUGAAUUGUUUGAAAUACUGUAUGAAAACUUUUCUAUGAUCCCAAAGACAGAGGUUGAUAUUGCACUUCAGAGGUUUUUCAAUAUAAAGUGAGAGUUCUACCCAGUGGGAGAGAGUGUUCAACGUCUCCCUCAAAAAGACCUUGUUCUCAGUGGCUUCCAUGUACCAGCUGGUACAUACCUUGAUCUAAAUCCAUACCUGUGGUUGCUGAGUGACAUGUACUUCAGUGAUCCUCUGGUUUUGCGUCCUGAGAGAUGGCUUAGGGAUUCUGCAGGAACCCUGGCAGUUGAUCCCUACAUUCUAAACCCAUUUAGCAUUGGAACUCGAAUGUGCGCUGGGCGGAGAUUUGCAGAACAGGACCUGUUUGUGGGGCUGUGCAGGCUGCUCCUCAAAUACCAACUAGAAGCUACAGACAACUCCCCUCCAAGGCAAGAAUGGAGUGUCUUGCUGAAGCCAAAAAUUCCACUCCCAAUACGAUUUAUUGCUCGGGAGUGACUCCAAUUUUUCUAGAUAUUUUGUUCUAAAUUUUUAUAUUCAUGUUAUUUUUUUAAAAUAGAUUUUGGAGGUAGAAAUAUAAAAUUGUAUAGGAAAAUUGCAGUUUGAGGUUGUGAUCAUCCAACUUUCCAAAAUGUUCUAAAUUGAACAACAGAUCUGCAAUUUGAGUAUUUAAAUCAUGCUAUUUUUGCAAAGUAGUUCAAAUUUAAUGUUCAGCAAAAGUGCCUUCCAAUUUUACAAACACCAGCUUAAGCAAAAGGCAGCUUUCUGUGGACAACAUACAUAUCAAUAGUGGCAGCCAAAUACAAAUGUUCACAAAUGUUAUUAAUGGAGAGACUGCAGUUAAACCACAGAUAUAUUUUGACAAGUGAAUUCCUUGUUAAGCUGAGACUGAAGGAAAUGGAAUAUUUAAUUUUAGAUGAUGGAGAGCUAUUACUUAUAGGCUUUUGCUAUAAAACUUACAGGUGUGCUUUAAUACAUUACUGAUUUAACUUUGUCUCCUUCCCAAGAUCUUGUCAGGGAUGAGGAGUUAUUUUGAAUCUUUGCAGGAAAGAUACUUUAGUUUUUAAAUUUCAGGACGGCUCAAAUGUUGGUAAUAUAUAAUGUAUCUGUGUUUAAGUGCAAUAAGAUGUACAGGUGUAUUAAGAUGUACAGGUGUAUUAAGAUUUAAUUAAACUAAAUAUUUCAUGUGAUAUGA